GGUGAUAUAGCCAAGUGGUAAGGCAGAGGUCUGCAAAACCUCGAUCAUCGGUUCGAAUCCGAUUUUCACCU
Molecule: transfer RNA, 71 nt
Filed under: Enterococcus faecium
Lineage: Bacteria; Bacillati; Bacillota; Bacilli; Lactobacillales; Enterococcaceae
Description: tRNA-Cys
Rfam family: tRNA
About the family: Transfer RNA (tRNA) molecules are approximately 80 nucleotides in length. Their secondary structure includes four short double-helical elements and three loops (D, anti-codon, and T loops).
Source: RNAcentral